RNAcentral lists this unclassified non-coding RNA (195 nucleotides) under uncultured Tinctoporellus. RNAcentral's name for it is "sequence contains ITS2". Lineage: Eukaryota; Fungi; Basidiomycota; Agaricomycetes; Polyporales; Polyporaceae. The record is from RNAcentral.
AAUUCUCAAUCUAUAAGCCUUUGCGGGUCUAUAGACUUGGAUUUGGAGGCUUUGCCGGCUUUAAAACGUCGGCUCCUCUUAAAUGCAUUAGCUCGAUUCCUUGCGGAUCGGCUCUCGGUGUGAUAAUUGUCUACGCCGUGACCGUGAAGCGUUUGGCGGGCUUCUAACCGUCUCAUUAGAGACAGCUUCAUUGAC